CGCAUCUGUGCAUGCAGCAUAUCAAUAAGCGGAGGAAAAGAAACUAACAAGGAUUCCCCUAGUAACGGCGAGUGAAGCGGGAAGAGCUCAAAUUUGAAAUCUUAAAGGGUUUCCCUUUACGAAUUGUAGUUUAAAGAAGUGUUUUCUGUUGAGGUUUUGGUAAAAGUUCUUUGGAAUAGGACAUCAUAGAGGGUGAGAAUCCCGUAUUUGACCUUUACUUUCAACUUUGUGAUACACUUUCAAAGAGUCGGAUUGUUUGGGAAUGCAGUCCAAAAUGGGUGGUAAAUUUCAUCUAAAGCUAAAUAUUGGCGAGAGACCGAUAGCGAACAAGUACCGUGAGGGAAAGAUGAAAAGAACUUUGAAAAGAGAGUUAAGCAGUACGUGAAAUUGUCAAAAGGGAAGCGUUUGACACCAGUGUUGUUUUUCUGAAAAUCAAUUAAAGAACUGUUUAUGCUAAGUUGUUUAGACUUUAUCAGCUAACUGUUUAGUUUUGAGCUUUUCUUUAAUGCACUUUUCAGUUAACAAGUCAACAUCAAUUUCUUUUGCUGUAAAAAAGCUUGAGGAAGGUGGCUUGAGAUUCGUCUUAAGUGUUUAUAGCCUCUUGCCUAUGCAGUCGGAGAGAUUGAGGUCUGCAGCGUAGAUCCUUCGGGGCUAAAUGCAUUUGUGCUAAGUUAUAGCAUUUUAUAGACAACUUGUUGACUAUGAUUUGUCUUGUAGCUUACUCGCUUAUGUUAUUUUACCUACGCUUAGGAUGUUGAAGAUGUAGCACAUCAU
This 774-nucleotide ribosomal RNA is filed under the name uncultured Neocallimastigales. Its description in RNAcentral is "partial large subunit ribosomal RNA". It matches the Rfam family "Eukaryotic large subunit ribosomal RNA", at positions 26 to 635 of the family's 3401-position model. The record is from RNAcentral. Lineage: Eukaryota; Fungi; Neocallimastigomycota; Neocallimastigomycetes; Neocallimastigales.